GGGCAAAAGCCCUGUCAGAUUCUUCCGACACUGAUUCGGAUAGUGAGGAGGUUUUGAACGGGUCGGACCAAGCCGACUCAGAGGAAUGGGAGUUUUCCUCCCCGGACCAGAGUCCGACACGCACUCCAGCCAACCCCGUGCAUGACACGGCGGAUGAAACCACUAUUCUGGACCCUCAGGGCGAACCUCUGUUCGACCCAGACACCUUACAAAACCCGAGGUCGGCGGAGUGGUAUCCAACCGAUCAUGUAGCACGAUACAUAGCGGCCAGAAUCCGCAAACCUUUGGAUAAGGCCACCAGGCAGAAACUACGGGCUGAAUGCCCACGCCCGACUGUGCCUGACAUGGCCUGUGCUACACCUGAUAUCGACCCCAAAAUAGCACAGUUCUUGGGUAAGUCUGGCUGGAAGGCGAAGAAGGGACUUGAUUACUCCCUACGCCACUGCCAAGAUAAAGUGCUGGAUACAUUGGGCCCUAGUGCCAAGAUUUUUGAAUUGGUCGAAGCGGCCUUAAAUGAGGGAACGCCUAUUGAUUUACUAGCCAUUAGAGGCUGGGCCCAACGGUCGAUCUGCCUCAUCGGCAACGCUAACGCUGCACUGGCCACAGAAAGGCGCAAAACUAUUUUAAUGAAAAUCGAGCCCAAGCUAAUUAACAUGGCUCUCACCGAACCGGGACCGCAAG
Non-coding RNA from Pelobates cultripes (western spadefoot toad), 681 nucleotides. The record is from the annotation of a GenBank genome assembly. Lineage: Eukaryota; Metazoa; Chordata; Amphibia; Anura; Pelobatidae.